RNA transcript from Strigops habroptila (Kakapo), 2097 nucleotides. It is a transcript of the gene named BUD23 rRNA methyltransferase and ribosome maturation factor, with no coding region annotated. NCBI's taxonomy places the organism in Eukaryota, Metazoa, Chordata, Aves, Psittaciformes, Psittacidae. The transcript has 12 exons. The record is from RefSeq and is a predicted model, not a curated record.
UCUUGGCCGCAACGCCGCGCGCGGCGCGGGACACUGACGUCACGCGGCAGCAUGGCGGGCAGCGGGCGCCGGCCGGAGCACCGGGGGCCGCCCGAGCUGUUCUACGAUGAGACCGAGGCGCGGAAGUACACGCAGAACUCGCGGGUGGUGGAGAUCCAGUCGCAGAUGUCGGAGCGGGCCGUGGAGCUGCUGGGGCUGCCGCAGGACCGGCCGUGCCUCCUCCUGGACGUCGGCUGCGGCUCUGGGCUGAGUGGGGAUUACAUCUCCGAGGAGGGUCACUACUGGAUUGGCAUGGACAUCAGCCCUGCCAUGCUCGAUGUGGCUGUGGAGAGGGAGGUGGAAGGAGACCUUCUCCUUGCAGACGUGGGUGAUGGCAUUCCCUUCAGGCCUGGCAUGUUUGAUGGCUGUAUCAGUAUUUCUGCAGUGCAGUGGCUUUGUAAUGCUGAUAAGAAAUCGCACAGCCCUCCAAAACGCCUGUAUCGAUUCUUCUCAACUCUUUAUACUGCCUUGGCCCGAGGAUCCCGAGCCGUCCUGCAGCUGUACCCUGAGAACUCAGAACAGCUGGAGCUCAUUACUGCCCAGGCCAUGAGAGCUGGCUUUACCGGGGGAAUGGUGGUAGAUUACCCAAACAGCACCAAAGCCAAGAAGUUCUUCCUUUGUCUCUUUGUUGGGGCAUCUGGCACGUUACCAAAGGGCCUUGGUACCGAGUGUGCUGAUGGAGAAGAGGUGCACCAGGCAAAGUUCACCAAUGAGAGGUAUUGUGUAGGAGGACACGGUUCAGAAAUGCCAAGGGCAAGUCUGUGAAGAAAAGCCGGGACUGGAUUCUUGAGAAGAAGGAACGUAGACGACGACAGGGCAAAGAAGUGCGAGCAGACACAAAAUACACGGGUCGAAAGCGCCGCCCUCGCUUCUGAAUUGCUUUGGACACUGCUGCUGUGGAAUAUAGUGUGUUGAUGCCUCCAGCCAGCCUCCCGUGGAUGGCACAGGUGGACACUUCAGGCCUGGGACUUGCUGGGACAGAUCUUUGUGGCUCUUGGAGGUAUAAACUGGGCCCAGUACUGUCCAACAGCCAACUGCAGGGCUUCCAGCCAUGUUUUCCUGGUGAAGGCAGACAGUGCUCAGGCCACUUGGUGUCUGCAGUGCCAUUGUUUAUGUUCUUGAGAGUGCACUGAACCAUCUGGAGCUCCAGGUGAGGCAGAACAUUAUGUCCACCCCCCACUAAACAGUCACUGACUCAGAACUGGUCUCCUGGAUCUUGUGCUCAGUGCAGGGGAGUGCUGAGGUAGGAACAGAGCACCUACUUCCCUGCCAGCUUUCCCUCUGCCCUCAGGCAGGAAACCAGGCACCAUAAAGGUGUGUGUCCCACGAGGGCAAAUCCUCCCGGCAAAAGUGCUAUUCCUGUGGCAAUUGGUGCUGUGGGCGCUUCGCACCAGGCCCAGCUUGUAUGCUUUAGUUCUCUCAGGGCUGUCUGCACCCUAGCCCUUGUUCCCCAUCAUCUUCUCCCUUCCCCUGAAACAGAGGUGCCAGCCAGAGCUUUACAGUUACAAAUGUUUAUUCUACAUAAAAAUUCCACAAAAUGGGAAGCUGUUUUGCACCCAAAGCUUUGGGAGAAGGGGAGGCUAGCAGGAAGGGAAAGGGGGAAGGAGAAAAGAGGCAACAUACAGUGUCAUCCAGCCCAGUGAGACAGAGCAAGCCAGGGUCAAGAUCCACAUAGAAAACAAGGACACUUAGCUCACAGUACAGCAACAGUACAACUCCACGGGGAGGGGGGACUUGGAAAGCUUUCAAGUACAUUUAAUUACUAAAAAAACCCCAAAAUAAUCCCCAGUUCGAGUGCAAGCUGUGCGUGCCCCACACUGCUCGUGGAAUACUGCAUCGACACGCUCCCGGUGCUGGGAGGGCAGGUGGCACUUGGAACAGAGGUGGGGUAACCCGAAGGACAAGCGGUCUGAGGUGGGGGGCUGGAAAGAAAAAGUGAAAUGUGUCCCCAAAGCACAACCACACUGUUGGUGAUUUGGUCUGUACAUGCAACAACAGGUAGGUAAAAAGGAACUGAGCGGGGCUUCCCAUAGUGCAGGGGUAAUUAUUGCACCAAAA